CACAGGUUAAUUCCCUUCCAGUGCCUCUGUGACAACCUCUCCCAACUUUGCAGCUGCUGUGCUGAGCUGAAGCUGAUCCCAGGACUUGGUCCAGCACUGCCCUGUAGGUGAUCUCACAACACCUCUGUUGGCUGUAGCAUCUUCCAAGUACCUGAGUCCACACCUCUGGAGGGAGGUGCUGAUUUAUUGACUCCAAGAGAUGCUUUUUUCCCAAGGGGGUUGUGCCAAAGGACCUCUGGCUGGACUGACGCCUGAUUUCUUUGGAGAAAGUGCCAUCCUGUGGCUGCCUGUGAAAUCCUUGCUGCUUCUUGCCUGGAAAGCAGAGCCAGGCAAAGCCCCUUCAGGCAGUGACAGUCCCAGUGGCACAGAUGUGCUGAUCCAGGCCACUUGCCAGCCCCCCUCUUGUUAUUUUACACAAUUGCAAGGUCUGGCUUAAUCCCAGGCUUUGGGAGUUGAAGAUGACAUUAAAAUAAACAAAUCAAAACUAA
Long non-coding RNA from Pipra filicauda (Wire-tailed manakin), 488 nucleotides. RefSeq lists it as uncharacterized. NCBI's taxonomy places the organism in Eukaryota, Metazoa, Chordata, Aves, Passeriformes, Pipridae. The record is from RefSeq and is a predicted model, not a curated record. The transcript is spliced from 2 exons.